Molecule: ribosomal RNA, 381 nt
Filed under: Triticum aestivum (bread wheat)
Lineage: Eukaryota; Viridiplantae; Streptophyta; Magnoliopsida; Poales; Poaceae
Description: partial small subunit ribosomal RNA
Source: RNAcentral
AUGUGUUCGUCCGCGUCCCGUAGUAGUUCAACACCACCUACGUCUCACCACACGAGCAAUCAGAUGCCUCCACUCCCUCUCAUCCGUUGCCCCGAAUGCAACGCCGGCUACGUCGUCUGGUUUGUCUCCGGUACAGAACUUAACCCAGGGAGGCACUUCUACAAGUGUGAACGGAAUGAGCACGGAGGUUGCAGGUUCUGGAAGUGGGAGAACAAGUACAUACAGUACUUGAGCGAGCGAUGGGGACAUCUGAUCUCGCACGCGAGCGUCCAUCGCCAUGUCGCACUGCUCGAGCAGAACCAAGCAUUCUUGAAGAAGAUUUUCAUGUUGUGCCUCGCGAAUUUGGUGGUCAUGGUCACUAUCUCCAUCCACAAGUUAUGA